Molecule: long non-coding RNA, 371 nt
Organism: Tympanuchus pallidicinctus (lesser prairie-chicken)
Lineage: Eukaryota; Metazoa; Chordata; Aves; Galliformes; Phasianidae
Exons: 3
Source: RefSeq, a predicted model, not a curated record
ACAGAAUCUCCUGGCAGCCUACCACAAAGUUGAAAGGAAAUUGUAAGACAGAAGAACAGAAGUGUGAUGAAUGAGAGGGGAGGACAAAGAGGGCAGAACUGAAGAAAGGAUACAGGAUCCCCGAGACACAAACUCCUGAACGCGUCUAGGACUAGGAGUGGAUCCAGCUGUGCUGAGGAACCUUACCUCUGUGGUUUGAAGAGUUCACACAGCAAUGGGCUUGGCUCUGAUCCUCAUGACACAGCAGGAGAGCAUCCUCUAGGAAACCGAGAUCCAGAAUCUUUAUGAAAGCAAUCCCACUGUGCUCUUCACAAAACCACUCCCCUAAGACUGAGCACAGGGGCACAGCCGAUGGCAGCAUCAGCUCAAGG